UACGUAGGGUGCAAGCGUUAAUCGGAAUUACUGGGCGUAAAGCGCGUGUAGGCGGUUGUUCAAGUCAGGUGUGAAAGCCUUGAGCUCAACUCAAGAAAUGCACUUGAUACUGGAUGACUAGAGGACCGGAGAGGAUAGUGGAAUUCCCAGUGUAGUGGUGAAAUACGUAGAGAUUGGGAAGAACACCAGUGGCGAAGGCGGCUAUCUGGACGGUUUCUGACGCUAAGACGCGAAAGCGUGGGGAGCAAACAGG
RNAcentral lists this ribosomal RNA (253 nucleotides) under uncultured bacterium. RNAcentral describes it as "partial 16S ribosomal RNA". It matches the Rfam family "Bacterial small subunit ribosomal RNA", at positions 524 to 776 of the family's 1533-position model. The record is from RNAcentral.